Molecule: non-coding RNA, 3061 nt
Organism: Meleagris gallopavo (turkey)
Lineage: Eukaryota; Metazoa; Chordata; Aves; Galliformes; Phasianidae
Source: RefSeq, a predicted model, not a curated record
UGAAUGCGAUACUCCAGAUGAGGCACUUCACUACUAUGUAGUAGUGAACAAUCACCUUCCUGACCCUGCUGGCCAUCCCUCUUUUGAUGCAGUCCAGGAUACAAUUAAACCUUCUGGGCUGACUCAAGCCCAGCCUUUCCUCCAUCAGGACUCCCAAGUCCUUCUCAGCAGGGCUGCUUUCAAUGAGUCCUUCUCCCAGUAUGUACACGUACCUGAGACUGCUCCAACAAUAUGCAACACCUUGCACUCGCCUUUGUUGAACCUCAUGAGGUUCAUGUGGGCUCACUUUUCAAGCUUGUCUAAGUCCCUUUGAAUGGUAUCCCUUCCUUCUAUUUUAUCACUCGCAUCACUCAGCUUGGUGUGAUCAGCAAACUCUCUGAGGGUAUGCUCAAUCCCAUUGUGUUAUUGAUAAAGAUGUUGAAGAGCACUGGUCCCAAGAUGGACCCCUGUGAGAUACCACUUGUGAUCAGCCUCCACCAGGACACAGAGCUGCUGACCGCAAUCCUCUGGUUGCAGCUGUCCAACUGAUUUUUUAUUCACUGUAUAGUCCAACCUUCAAAUCCCCUCCAAUUUAGAGAUAAGGAUGUAAUAAUAACGAUGUCAGGUUGUUUUCAAAAUAUCUUACAGACCAUUCUGUGAUGAAUUUUGAUUCUUUUUGAUUCUUUUUUUGGGCAAAUUUGUCAAUGAUGAGUACCUGAUAGGCUCCAGUCUCACAGAACAUUCAUUAUUUAUAAGUUAGUGUAAGAUGUACACAGUUACAUAGCUCUCUUCUUCAGGGAGGAGACAAGCCUUUUCUCUGUGUGUCUAUACCUAUGCAGAACUUUCCACUGUCUUUGGCUGCAUCUCAUAGCACCAACUGUACAAUAAGAAUAAUAUGACACUGUGAGGAGAAUAAGAAACAUAAAGUAGUGGUGUUUUUUGUUUGAAUUACAUAUGCUUUUUAAUAGAUAUAGGCUGAAACUACACUGGCACUUAAAACAUCCCAAGACUUGUUCUUCCUGAUUUCAGAGAUCUUGCUACUGUUAUUAUAAAAGUUAGAACUGGCUUUACUUCCCGUGCCUUUUCAAUUCUUGCGACCCAAAAAGCUUUGACAUUUCAAGUGACAAAUCUAGGCUCCUCCAGUUUCCAGAAGAUGAAGCAUAGCUUCAGAUAACAUGUGAAUCAGCUACUGCUGCCAAAUGGAAAUGGUGUCUUUUCGGGCUAAAACUUCAAAGAAAGGAUCCUGUAUUAGCAGCACUGAGUUUGCUGUACUUGCUGUUGUCUUGAACUUAAAAGCAGGUAAUAACCUUUGAAUCUGAAUAUGUAGAAGAUACCUUUACUAACAGAACUCCCAGCUCCCACAGGAAAAGAUGGCUUGGCAGCUGAACUACUACAGCUCUGUAAUGACCACCACGUUCAUUAGACAAUGAAAAGCUGUGCAGGGGUAAAAAAAAGGCAAUGCACAUAGGUGACAAGGUGGGUGAAUAUUAUUUCUCCCUAUCCUUUCAGAUCCUCAGAGGAAUCACUGGAAAUAUAAAUUAAGCUACAAGCCACAGGAAUUACUGGAUAUAUAAAUUAAGCUAUAAGCCAUUUGCUGACUCUCAUCAACCUUGUUAAGUGGUAGGGAAUCAGGAGUUCAGUGCAUCUAUGCAUUUAGAGAAAUAAAGCCACUGAUUAGUUUAUUGGACAAAGCCUCUUGGUAUAUGAAGCAGCAAAAUUCCCUUGUUCUAAUGAAACAGCCUAGGCUAUUUCUCAUUUCUCUCAACAGGGCACUCUUUUACAACCCUUACUAUGAUUGAGAUACAAAGUAAAGGACAGGGUGGGGAAACACAAAUUGUGGUCUAUGGGAGAGAUGUUUAAAGAGGAGAGAAAUUUAAAUACAAGUGUAAAUCCAAAAGCGACAAUAUAGAUAAAAAUAUAGGUCACAUCUACUCACCACAAUCACUCUUGUUUUUAUUGUGGUAGCACCAAGGGACUUCAGCAGUGGUACAGAUUCCCUGUGUUCACUAAGGCUUGAAGACAGAUUACAAAUGCCCUAAAGAGCUUCCAACUUUUAGAAUUCCCACUUUCUUCACCACAAAGCAGCAAAGAUGGCUCAGCAACAACUGCCUGAUAUCAGUAUCAUUACAAAAAAUCUUGUUUUCAACUCUUCCAGAACUUUUGUCUCAGGAUUGGAAGUUUUUUUACUCAUGCUUGGAGAUCUGCUGAGAAAUCCAGAGAGGAUUAUGAUUCAGAGAGCAGUUGAUUGAUUCACCUCUUCCUGUUCUCACUCAGAGGCCACAGUACGUAAGCAGAAGGUCACAGGCCAUAUGGGAUGGAAGCCAUGCUCCAAAAUAAGUACUUUCCUCAGAAUGCAAGCAGAGAGGAACAUGAAGAUAUGUGCCUCUUCUUGUGUUCAAUUCAACACGGAAUUUGACUUGAGUGUAGCAGAAACGUUUUUGGACACUGAGUAAUAUCACAAUUCCACAGUAAGCAAGUAAAAGGAAGUAGUGUCAUUAUAUUUAAUGACUCCUACAUUUAAAAAUAUCUGUGAAAAUUCUUGACACAGUUAGUAAGGAAACACAAAACAUACAGCAAUUGUUUGGAAUUAAAAUUCAUAUACAAAUAUUCAAGAAAGCCUGGGCUGAAUUUAUAUCCAACUCAAAAUAUAAUUUCCCUAUGCUUUACAGGCACUUGGAUCUAGUAUGUAUAUGACUACCCAAAGCAGGCAGAAUUGUUUAAUUUAGCUUUCUAUAUACAACCUGUAGGUUAGGAACAGCAGACAGUACUCUGCAAUUUUACUGAUUGUUGUCUGUUUACCAUAAUUACAGAGAUAUUUUAAACUUCCGCAUUUUGUUGUAGGCAUAGUAUUAGGUAGGGAAUAGCAGCACAACAUUUUGAGUAGUCUGUUAUUGUGGAUACAUCCUGAGGACCAGCUGAUGCUAUUUUUAGUCACUAUGUGGUUAACUGUGACUAGACUGAGAAUGUUAUUUUUUUGUUUAGUGUUUGAAGUUGCAAACAUUGAAUUUUGCAUUCUGAAAUUGCUGAAUUAAAAAAAAAAUAAUCUGAGUUUAAUUAAAAGUUAUAUGUAUGCACACAGAGA